GAUGAACGCUGGCGGCGUGCCUAAUACAUGCAAGUCGAGCGAACAGAUAAGGAGCUUGCUCCUUUGACGUUAGCGGCGGACGGGUGAGUAACACGUGGGUAACCUACCUAUAAGACUGGGAUAACUUCGGGAAACCGGAGCUAAUACCGGAUAAUAUUUUGAACCGCAUGGUUCGAUAGUGAAAGAUGGUUUUGCUGUCACUUAUAGAUGGAUCCGCGCUGUAUUAGCUAGUUGGUAAGGUAACGGCUUACCAAGGCGACGAUACGUAGCCGACCUGAGAGGGUGAUCGGCCACACUGGAACUGAGACACGGUCCAGACUCCUACGGGAGGCAGCAGUAGGGAAUCUUCCGCAAUGGGCGAAAGCCUGACGGAGCAACGCCGCGUGAGUGAUGAAGGUCUUCGGAUCGUAAAACUCUGUUAUUAGGGAAGAACAUACGUGUAAGUAACUGUGCACGUCUUGACGGUACCUAAUCAGAAAGCCACGGCUAACUACGUG
Molecule: ribosomal RNA, 497 nt
Filed under: uncultured bacterium
Lineage: Bacteria
Description: partial 16S ribosomal RNA
Rfam family: Bacterial small subunit ribosomal RNA
Source: RNAcentral